GCGUUGAUGGUGUAAUGGUUAGCAUUGCUGCCUUCCAAGCAGUAGAUCUGGGUUCGAUUCCCGGUCAACGCU
This 72-nucleotide transfer RNA is filed under the name Dendronephthya gigantea. RNAcentral's name for it is "tRNA-Gly". It matches the Rfam family "tRNA". Rfam says of the family: Transfer RNA (tRNA) molecules are approximately 80 nucleotides in length. Their secondary structure includes four short double-helical elements and three loops (D, anti-codon, and T loops). Lineage: Eukaryota; Metazoa; Cnidaria; Anthozoa; Malacalcyonacea; Nephtheidae. The record is from RNAcentral.